This 497-nucleotide ribosomal RNA is filed under the name uncultured bacterium. Its description in RNAcentral is "partial 16S ribosomal RNA". It matches the Rfam family "Bacterial small subunit ribosomal RNA", at positions 28 to 507 of the family's 1533-position model. The record is from RNAcentral.
GAUGAACGCUGGCGGCGUGCCUAAUACAUGCAAGUCGAGCGAACAGACGAGGAGCUUGCUCCUCUGACGUUAGCGGCGGACGGGUGAGUAACACGUGGAUAACCUACCUAUAAGACUGGGAUAACUUCGGGAAACCGGAGCUAAUACCGGAUGAUAUAUUGAACCGCAGGGUUCAAUAGUGAAAGACGGUUUUGCUGUAUCUUCUAGAUGGAUCCGCGCCGCAUUAGCUAGUUGGUAAGGUAACGGCUUACCAAGGCAAGGAUGCGUGGCCGACCUGAGAGGCUGAUCGGCCACCCUGGAACUGAGACACCGUCCAUACUCCUACGGGAGGCAGCAGUAGGCAAUCUUCCGCAAUGGGCGAAAGCCUGACGGAGCAGCGCCGCGUGAGUGAUGAAAGCCUUCGGAUCGUAAAACUCUGUUAUUAGGGAAGAACAACUGUGUAAGUAACUAUGCACGUCUUGACGGUACCUAAUCAGAAAGCCCCGGCUAACUACGUG